Molecule: non-coding RNA, 49 nt
Filed under: Trichobilharzia regenti
Lineage: Eukaryota; Metazoa; Platyhelminthes; Trematoda; Strigeidida; Schistosomatidae
Source: RNAcentral
AUCCGGCUGACGAAUCCCAAAUAGGACGAAAUGCACAUCUUGACUGUAU